GGGGUUGUGGCUCAAUGGUAGAGCACUUGCCUAACAUGUGCGAGGUGCUGAGUUUGAUCCUCAGCACCACA
This 71-nucleotide transfer RNA is filed under the name Marmota monax (woodchuck). RNAcentral's name for it is "tRNA.Val". The record is from RNAcentral. Lineage: Eukaryota; Metazoa; Chordata; Mammalia; Rodentia; Sciuridae.